UCCAGACUCCUACGGGAGGCAGCAGUGAGGAAUAUUGGUCAAUGGCCGGAAGGCUGAACCAGCCAAGUCGCGUGAGGGAAUAAGGCCCUAUGGGUCGUAAACCUCUUUUGUCAGGGAGCAAAGGCGUCCACGUGUGGACGAGAGGAGAGUACCUGAAGAAAAAGCAUCGGCUAACUCCGUGCCAGCAGCCGCGGUAAUACGGAGGAUGCGAGCGUUAUCCGGAUUUAUUGGGUUUAAAGGGUGCGUAGGCGGAGUGUCAAGUCAGCGGUAAAAUUUCGGGGCUCAACCCCGUCGUGCCGUUGAAACUGGCAGUCUCGAGUUGGAGAGAAGUAUGCGGAAUGCGCGGUGUAGCGGUGAAAUGCAUAGAUAUCGCGCAGAACUCCGAUUGCGAAGGCAGCACGCCGGCUCCACACUGACGCUGAGGCACGAAAGCGUGGGUAUCGAACAGGAUUAGAUACCCUCGUA
This 465-nucleotide ribosomal RNA is filed under the name uncultured bacterium. RNAcentral's name for it is "bacterial SSU rRNA". It matches the Rfam family "Bacterial small subunit ribosomal RNA", at positions 330 to 792 of the family's 1533-position model. The record is from RNAcentral.